Molecule: transfer RNA, 70 nt
Organism: Camelus ferus (Wild Bactrian camel)
Lineage: Eukaryota; Metazoa; Chordata; Mammalia; Artiodactyla; Camelidae
Rfam family: tRNA
About the family: Transfer RNA (tRNA) molecules are approximately 80 nucleotides in length. Their secondary structure includes four short double-helical elements and three loops (D, anti-codon, and T loops). Further hydrogen bonds mediate the characteristic L-shaped molecular structure. tRNAs have two regions of fundamental functional importance: the anti-codon, which is responsible for specific mRNA codon recognition, and the 3' end, to which the tRNAs corresponding amino acid is attached (by aminoacyl-tRNA synthetases). tRNAs cope with the degeneracy of the genetic code in two manners: having more than one tRNA (with a specific anti-codon) for a particular amino acid; and 'wobble' base-pairing, i.e. permitting non-standard base-pairing at the 3rd anti-codon position.
Source: Rfam
GGUAGUAGCUCAGUGGUAGAGUGUGUGCUUAGCAUGCAGAAGGCCCUAGGUUCAAUCCCCAGUACUGCCA